Molecule: ribosomal RNA, 491 nt
Filed under: uncultured bacterium
Lineage: Bacteria
Description: partial 16S ribosomal RNA
Rfam family: Bacterial small subunit ribosomal RNA
Source: RNAcentral
AGUGAACGCUGGCGGUAGGCCUAACACAUGCAAGUCGAACGGCAGCACAGUAAGAGCUUGCUCUUACGGGUGGCGAGUGGCGGACGGGUGAGGAAUACAUCGGAAUCUACUUUUUCGUGGGGGAUAACGUAGGGAAACUUACGCUAAUACCGCAUACGACCUACGGUUGAAAGCAGGGGAUCUUCGGACCUUGCGCGAUUGAAUGAGCCGAUGUCGGAUUAGCUAGUUGGCGGGGUAAAGGCCCACCAAGGCGACGAUCCGUAGCUGGUCUGAGAGGAUGGUCAGCCACACUGGAACUGAGACACGGUCCAGACUCCUACGGGAGGCAGCAGUGGGGAAUAUUGGACAAUGGGCGCAAGCCUGAUCCAGCCAUACCGCGUGGGUGAAGAAGGCCUUCGGGUUGUAAAGCCCUUUUGUUGGGAAAGAAAAGAAGCAGGUUAAUACCCCGCUGUUCUGACGGUACCCAAAGAAUAAGCACCGGCUAACUUCGU